CCAGACUCCUACGGGAGGCAGCAGUGGGGAAUAUUGCACAAUGGGGGGAACCCUGAUGCAGCGACGCCGCGUGGGUGAAGGAGCACCUCGGUGCGUAAAGCCCUAUCGGCAGGGAAGAAAAGCGAACAGGUUCGCCUGGACGGUACCUGACUAAGAAGCCCCGGCUAACUACGUGCCAGCAGCCGCGGUAAUACGUAGGGGGCAAGCGUUAUCCGGAUUCACUGGGUGUAAAGGGAGCGUAGACGGCUUGGCAAGCCAGAUGUGAAAGGCUGGGGCUCAACCCCAGGACUGCAUUUGGAACUGUCAUGCUAGAGUGUCGGAGAGGCAGGCGGAAUUCCUAGUGUAGCGGUGAAAUGCGUAGAUAUUAGGAGGAACACCAGUGGCGAAGGCGGCCUGCUGGACGAUGACUGACGUUGAGGCUCGAAAGCGUGGGUAGCAAACAGGAUUAGAUACCCCGGUAAUU
Molecule: ribosomal RNA, 463 nt
Filed under: uncultured bacterium
Lineage: Bacteria
Description: partial 16S ribosomal RNA
Rfam family: Bacterial small subunit ribosomal RNA
Source: RNAcentral